UCUUGACAUUUGAAAGAAGAGUGUGGAAGAGCUGUCUGAAUUUGCUCAGAAGUCCUGUCCUCUGCAGGAACAGGAAUAUCUGCUCCAGGGAGAAAGAAGUGAGAACACUUGAUUCAUUAUGCCUACAGUGUUGGUGGCUCUCUGUCAUAUAAUAAUAGGAAAUGGUAAAGAACUGGAGCUUUGUCACUGAGGGGAGCUGUUCUGGAGCUGGCCUGAUCCACAAUGGAGCAGCAGAUCUUGGCACACCUUUUCUGAGGCAGGGAAAUGCCAGGGCAGUGGAGAGACCUGCUAGGAGCCAGAAACUCUGUAUCCUCCUUCCACCACGCUGAAGACAGUAGCUUAAAGGAAAGGAGUGAAUGGAGGUCCCCAGAAUACAUCCAGAUGGUACGGUGAUGAGCACAAGCAGAUAAAGGAAAGCCCCAAUCUCCUGCAGAUGGUUAUUCCUGCUGAGCCCAGCUUGGUAAGCCCAGUUUGCCCCAGAGCUGGAGCGGCUUGUUCAGCUCUGUCCUUCCGUGAGCCAGUCACCAGAGGGGGACAAAGCCCCACGCACGGCAACCGCGGACUCGCACUCCUCCCCCCCGCGCCCCGAAAAGCUCCUUCCAAGAGCGUGCCAGGCGGGGAGAUGCGUUUUGGGGUCGCGGGUCCCCAACUGCACCCAUGGGUGCCCCAAGCCCCAGCGCUGGGGGCGAGGGGGGUGGCAGGUGGCAAGGACCAGCCGGGUCCUCCUUGCUAUUGCAUGGCACCACUGUCCCUUCAGCCUGGAAAAGAUGUGCGUGCUUAAAAAAAAAAAAAAAAAGAAAAAAGAAAAAAGAAAAACAACAAACAAACAACAAUCAGCACCAGCCCUUAAAACAACUGUAAGUUUGCUGGGGGUAAAUUAGAAGGUUGAACUCAUAUUGCAAACUCAGUUUCAGAACUGCUUGGUUUUUCCUGUAUUUCAUUGCAACAAAAAUGCUGUUUAAAAAUUACUGUUCAUAUGUAUAAAGAUAUCUGCUCCCCCCAGUUUUGAUCUGAUGCACUGAAAAAUGGAACACAGCUGAUGCUCAAGUUUUUAAGUUAGCACCACGCAUCCAGGAGAAAAAUUUGCAACCUAUGGCUCUGAAAAUGAGAGGAGAAGCAAAUUUGGUGAGUAUGAUGUAGCUUUUUCAAUAGUUACCUAUGCCUGAUUGGAACCUAUAGUGAAA
Molecule: long non-coding RNA, 1184 nt
Organism: Tyto alba (common barn owl)
Lineage: Eukaryota; Metazoa; Chordata; Aves; Strigiformes; Tytonidae
Exons: 3
Source: RefSeq, a predicted model, not a curated record